CUGCAAUAUUUAGAAUCUCUGUAUAUUUGCAGUGCAAAUGGUGGCUUGCUUAGGUAGAACGUAGACAGAUCUGUACAAGAUGUAGUAAUUGUAAAAUGUCAUGUGUUUGCUUUUAAAUUUUAACCUCAAAAGGUGCUUUCCAAC
Hibiscus syriacus is the source of this 144-nucleotide long non-coding RNA. RefSeq lists it as uncharacterized. The record is from RefSeq and is a predicted model, not a curated record. Lineage: Eukaryota; Viridiplantae; Streptophyta; Magnoliopsida; Malvales; Malvaceae. The transcript has 2 exons.